This 509-nucleotide ribosomal RNA is filed under the name uncultured bacterium. Its description in RNAcentral is "bacterial SSU rRNA". It matches the Rfam family "Bacterial small subunit ribosomal RNA", at positions 17 to 518 of the family's 1533-position model. The record is from RNAcentral.
UUCUGGCUCAGGAUGAACGCUAGCUACAGGCUUAACACAUGCAAGUCGAGGGGCAGCAUUGGAGUAGCAAUACUCAGAUGGCGACCGGCGCACGGGUGAGUAACACGUAUCCAACCUGCCGCUUACUCGGGGAUAGCCUUUCGAAAGAAAGAUUAAUACCCGAUGGUAUAAAGAGUUCGCAUGUUCUCUUUAUUAAAGAAUUUCGGUAAGCGAUGGGGAUGCGUUCCAUUAGAUUGUUGGCGGGGUAACGGCCCACCAAGUCUACGAUGGAUAGGGGUUCUGAGAGGAAGGUCCCCCACAUUGGAACUGAGACACGGUCCAAACUCCUACGGGAGGCAGCAGUGAGGAAUAUUGGUCAAUGGACGCGAGUCUGAACCAGCCAAAGUAGCGUGAAGGAUGACUGCCCUAUGGGUUGUAAACUUCUUUUAUAAGGGAAUAAAGUGAGGGACGUGUCCCUUUUUGUAUGUACCUUAUGAAUAAGGAUCGGCUAACUCCGUGCCAGCAGCCGC